AAGAAUUAUCUCUAUCUUUGCCUGAGCCAUCAGAACAUCUGAGAUGACAGCUGGAACAUAAGAUUAAAGUGCUCCAAGACCUUGGCAGUGUGCUAGGACCUUGAAGGGGAGCAGAGGGCUAGAGAUCAAGCCACCAGCUAACAUCCAGGGAUCUGGAGCAAUGAGAGCAGUUAUCUAGCUCAGCCAGUUUGUACCCUGCAAAGGCAGGUGGGGCCCAGUCACUGAACCCCUGCAGAACAACUGAGACCAGGGCAGUUCUGAGACAGAUUUCACACGCCUUUGGAAAUUUCUGUCCCUACCUGAAAUAGAGGAGGAUGCUCAUUCAAAAGACUGUCCUCUCCCCUCCCUCUGCCAGCCUCUGUCCUUGCUCUCAUUCUUGGAAGCUGUCUGGUUGGAGCAUAGAGAGAAACAUCUGGAUGAGUUGGCUCAGCCUGCGUUAGUUCCUUCUUGCUGUGGGUCAGCCUUCAGGCAGAGCAGGAGGCACUUCCUUGCUGCCCAAGCCUUGAAACAGGACACAGCUCUGUGAAAGGAGGAUUAGCAAGCUCUGGCUUUGUCACCUUAGGGGUGACAUAUUGGACUGUAGAUCUAAAGCCACACUCUCUAGUUGGCAGAGUAUUAAUAAAGCUGGCAUUGCUGAUUUCCAGCUGUUGGCUACUUGCGUCUUCUCUCUGUAUUUUGGACUCAGACAUUGGGAAUAGGUAUUGUACAUGAGCCCCCUAAAUCCCAAGCAGCUUCAGUCUUUGGAAGAAAGCAUUUCCCCUUCUUUAUCCACCCCAUUCUGAAAGCUAGCGCAGGCAUACACAAUCCGCAGAUCUUGGAUUCCUAAUACACCAAGGUAAAUUACAUGGGCUGUUGGAGGUGGGGGUUGUGUCUCCUGGCUUCUUCUCACUGAGAAACAUUAUGUCGCUGCUGAAGCUGCUGCAGGCUAUGGCCCAUCUCUGCUAAUAAAGGUAUGGGUUUCCCAUUACCCAGGCAGACUGGCUUCG
Mus musculus (house mouse) is the source of this 986-nucleotide long non-coding RNA. RefSeq annotates it as predicted gene, 34597. The record is from RefSeq and is a predicted model, not a curated record. The transcript has 4 exons. Lineage: Eukaryota; Metazoa; Chordata; Mammalia; Rodentia; Muridae.